CUACGGGUUGCUCCAGUGAGGAAUAUUGCACAAUGGGGGGAACCCUGAUGCAGCAACGCCGCGUGGAGGAUGACGCAUUUCGGUGUGUAAACUCCUUUUAUAUGUCAAGAAAAUGACGGUAGCAUAUGCAUAAGCACCGGCUAACUCCGUGCCAGCAGCCGCGGUAAUACGGAGGGUGCAAGCGUUACUCGGAAUCACUGGGCGUAAAGGACGCGUAGGCGGGUUGGAAAGUCAGGUGUGAAAUCCUACAGCUUAACUGUAGAACUGCACUUGAAACUUCUAAUCUAGAGUAUGGGAGGGGGAGAUGGAAUUAGUGGUGUAGGGGUAAAAUCCGUAGAUAUCACGAGGAAUACCUAAAGCGGAGGCGAUCUCCUGGAACAUUACUGACGCUAAGGCGUGAAAGCGUGGGGAGCAAACAGGAUUAGAUACCCUCGUAGUC
RNAcentral lists this ribosomal RNA (439 nucleotides) under uncultured bacterium. Its description in RNAcentral is "partial 16S ribosomal RNA". It matches the Rfam family "Bacterial small subunit ribosomal RNA", at positions 339 to 795 of the family's 1533-position model. The record is from RNAcentral.